RNAcentral lists this ribosomal RNA (494 nucleotides) under uncultured bacterium. RNAcentral describes it as "partial 16S ribosomal RNA". It matches the Rfam family "Bacterial small subunit ribosomal RNA", at positions 28 to 507 of the family's 1533-position model. The record is from RNAcentral.
GACGAACGCUGGCGGCGUGCUUAACACAUGCAAGUCGAACGGCGACGCACCUUCCUUUUUGGUUGGUGUGGAUGAGGGGCGAACGGGUGAGUAACACGUGCGUAACCUGCUCUUUCCUUCUGGAUAACCGCAUGAAAGUGUGGCUAAUACGGGAUACUCCGGGUCUUUCGCAUGAGGGGUCUGGGGAAGCUUUUGCUUCGGAGGGGGAUGAGCUCGCGGCCUAUCAGCUUGUUGGUGGGGUGAUGGCCUACCAAGGCGGUGACGAGUAGCCGGGCGGAGAGGGUGAGCGGUCACGGUGCGGCUGCGACGCGGAGAAGACUCCGACGGGAGGCAGCGGGGAAGAUUAGAGCACGGGGGGAACACGGAUGCUGCAGCGACGCGGCGGGGGAGAUGGAGUCCGGCGUGUUGUGACCCUCUUUCGCGAGAGAAGCAGGGCUGCCUCGUUUGUGGGUGGGUUGACGGUACCUGAAGAAGAAGCACCGGCUAACUACGUG